AGGCAUGCUAGGGUACUAAUACCUUCCUUACGUGUAACCGAUUCCCGAACUUGAAAAUCUUUUUUUCGUAGACCAUGCUUUUAUUUUAGGGUUUUCCAUAGUUUUCCCAUAAUAAAUUAUGGUGGCGACUCCCAAAAUCUUUUCUAAACCCGUUUGUUUUUUCGGUUCGUCGUCCCGUCGUGAUCCCGGUUGCGACAGCUGGCGACUCCACUAGGGAGUCUAGAGAAUCAGGCCUUCUAAAUUAAAUGUUCAAAAUUGAUGUGGUUUUUCUGUGUUUUAUUUUAUUUCCCUUUUAUUUGUAUAUAUGAUUGUCUUUAUUUAUUUUGGUAAUUCUAUUUAUAUGCUUUUACUCUCAUUAUUAUUACUGUACAUAUCAUUAGUGGGACCCUAUACCCGGGUCUGAGUGUAACAUAGAAUUAGAGGGGUUGUGUAGCGGUGUUACGUCUGGGCUAAUUCCAGUUUGGCUAUCGUGAAAACCCCAGCCAGUGGCUGUUCUCUUUACAUGCAAUUUCACACCUAGUUGCGAUCAACUGUUGUGGAAAAGUUGUGAAAAGGACCAUAGUUCUGGUGGCCUUGAUUUUAGGUUUAGGAAGCCUUCCUUGUGAGAUUGCAUACACAAUGCUUAGACCUUAAGACAUUGGACCUACC
Molecule: long non-coding RNA, 648 nt
Filed under: Vigna radiata
Lineage: Eukaryota; Viridiplantae; Streptophyta; Magnoliopsida; Fabales; Fabaceae
Description: long non-coding RNA (VRAD_LNC006179)
Source: RNAcentral